RNAcentral lists this ribosomal RNA (125 nucleotides) under uncultured bacterium. RNAcentral's name for it is "partial 16S ribosomal RNA". It matches the Rfam family "Bacterial small subunit ribosomal RNA", at positions 1376 to 1500 of the family's 1533-position model. The record is from RNAcentral.
GGGUCUUGUACACACCGCCCGUCACACCAUGGGAGUCGGAAAUGCCCGAAGUCUGUGACCCAACCUCAGGGAGGGAGCAGCCGAAGGCAGGUCGGAUGACUGGGGUGAAGUCGUAACAAGGUAUC